Non-coding RNA from Guyanagaster necrorhizus, 102 nucleotides. Lineage: Eukaryota; Fungi; Basidiomycota; Agaricomycetes; Agaricales; Physalacriaceae. The record is from the annotation of a RefSeq genome assembly.
GACCCCUUAGCUCAGUGGUAGAGCGUGUGAUUCCAGUGCGUGAGUGGAUUAGAUGGUCCCUAGAUUUCCACAAGGUCAAGCGUUCAACUCGCUUAGGGGUCA